Molecule: transfer RNA, 73 nt
Filed under: Ovis aries (sheep)
Lineage: Eukaryota; Metazoa; Chordata; Mammalia; Artiodactyla; Bovidae
Rfam family: tRNA
About the family: Transfer RNA (tRNA) molecules are approximately 80 nucleotides in length. Their secondary structure includes four short double-helical elements and three loops (D, anti-codon, and T loops). Further hydrogen bonds mediate the characteristic L-shaped molecular structure. tRNAs have two regions of fundamental functional importance: the anti-codon, which is responsible for specific mRNA codon recognition, and the 3' end, to which the tRNAs corresponding amino acid is attached (by aminoacyl-tRNA synthetases). tRNAs cope with the degeneracy of the genetic code in two manners: having more than one tRNA (with a specific anti-codon) for a particular amino acid; and 'wobble' base-pairing, i.e. permitting non-standard base-pairing at the 3rd anti-codon position.
Source: Rfam by way of RNAcentral
UCCCGGGUGGUCCAGUGGUUAAGAAUCUGCCUUGCCAAUGCAGGGGGCACAGGUUCGAUCCCUGGUCCAGGAA